This is a non-coding RNA of Microcebus murinus (gray mouse lemur), 533 nucleotides long. NCBI's taxonomy places the organism in Eukaryota, Metazoa, Chordata, Mammalia, Primates, Cheirogaleidae. The record is from RefSeq and is a predicted model, not a curated record.
ACCAAGGCAGCCACAGAGCUCAACAAGCCUCACUUCAAGGAAGACUGAAACAUCCCUUCUGCAACCCAUAAGGAUGCUCUUGCAGUAUAAUGUUUCUAGAUGGUUAUAAUAGCACUCAACAGAAGACUGUGGCCAAGCAAAUCCAGGGAGGCACAUAAACUGGAUGUAAUGAUAAUGGCACAAACAUAGGAGAACCAAGGAUCGCUGCACUUGCUUUAUGGCAGCAGCAGGGACACCAAUGAGGAGGCUGCUGGACAAUCCAGACACGAGAUGAUGACAGUUCGGACCAGAAUAGUGGCAGAAGGGAUGGUAAAAAGUGUUGGAAUUCCUGGUAAAUUAUGAAGACUCUCGGAAAGCAUUUUCUGCAUCCUGCUGGUGGUGGAAGCAUUUUCUCUACAGAAAGUUGUGGAGAUGCUUGAAGAAGUGGUAGUCGGUUGGCAAGAGGUCAGGUGAAUCUAGCGGAUGAGGCAAAACUUCGUAGCCCAAUUUGUUCAAGUUCUGAAGCAUUGGUUAUGCAAUGUGUGGUCAGGCGU